Molecule: long non-coding RNA, 6401 nt
Filed under: Oryza brachyantha (malo sina)
Lineage: Eukaryota; Viridiplantae; Streptophyta; Magnoliopsida; Poales; Poaceae
Description: long non-coding RNA (OBRA_LNC002206)
Source: RNAcentral
CGGAGAGUUCGGUUUUUUGCAAAAAAUACUCCCACCAUUCUCUCUGUAUAUAUCUAUUUCUAGAUAAGAGAUUAAGAGAUAAAAGAUUAAGGUUCGAUGACAAACAUGUAUGAUACGUUCAAAUAAAUAAGAAAAUGUUACGGUGAGACGGUGGCGUUGGGUUCUUGAAUAUAACAUAAGGAGAUAUCCCCAUAGAAAAUAAUUGAUAGGAAAUAUAAUUCUGCAAAAAAAACUUUUAUGGAUACUUAUAUCAUAAUAUCACAAACAUUUUAGAUUUCGAAAAUAUUUAUAGUUUGGAACCGGAGGAUUAGAAGGGAAAAUAGAAAAUACUGAAAUAAAAUAGAAAAAUGGCUCCAAAUGCACUAUCACCUCCUCCGAUGCUUCGCCCGGCCGCGCUGGCCGCGGACUCCUGCGGCGCCGGCCACUGCCCGCCGCCCCACCACCGGCCGGCUGCCGUAGCUUGAUCCAUGGUCCGCCACCCCUCCCGGCGCCAACCUCCCUUUCCCAGCCGCCACCCUUCACUGGCCCAAAUCUUCGCCGGCCGGGAACCUUCAAUGGCCCAAAUCAUCGCUCGCUGGAAUCUAGCCGCCGCCGUCUCGAGUAGCCACACGCAUCGAUGUGAAUCUAUCCAGGAUCUAAACCGCAGAGCGCGUCAAGGCCACGGCGGUUGAUCGAAGGGCCACCAAAUGUGCGUCAACAAGUUCAGGAAUAGACUGCAUGCUUGUGCACAUGAGGUAAUUUUUUUUAAUUCCAGAUAAACGAAUUACCACCAUUGAAUUUCGUAAAACUAUGGGAAUUUUGAAAUUUCUCUCGCUAUGAUACGUGAUGAUUUUCUGUGACCCCAAUUAUCCGGUUGGAAAUUAGGUUAAUGUGUGAUGCACAGUGCGUUUGACUUGACGGUAUGUACUAACAGGGAAAAAAAAACUAAUUUGAUUACUAGGAAUGAGAGAAGUGUCACUUUAGGUUUUUGUUGUUGCAACAGAUGCAGAAACAAUGGCAACAAGCAUGAUUUCUUUGAUGUUUUCAUUACUUCACACACAGUGACAAGAAAAAUCAUUAACAAGCUGUACCUAGUACCGAUUUUACCUUUUCUCCUUAGGUUGCACAACAUUGCCUUUGGUCACGAAUCAACCCCAGUGUAUUGCUCCCAACUCUUCAAGCAUGAUCGCUCCUGUUGUUUUCAUGCUGACAUUGGGAUCGAUGGAUUUACUUAUUUAAAGAUUCGAAGAGCGAAAAAGUACCACAUGCUCAUUUUCAUUGAAAAUGAAGCAAAGUAAUGUUUACAGACCAGACAAAUCCAUGAAAAUCACUCAAAAGCUACAUAUGCAGCUCAACAACUGCUAAGAACACUUCAAGAAAAAGAAACAUAACCCUGAAUAAAAGCACACCCACUCACCUGUCAUCAAGAACACAACGUCAGCCAAUCUCCGGAAAAAUCCCCAGAACAUACAGAACCAAAUAUACUGUUCAUACAUGUGGUACUGUAUUUCGAGACCAGUGGACCACUAGAGAAUAAACAUAGCACAUUCUCCUUCUGUUAUACCACCUCGACACCAUCUUGAGGAUCAUACCGGAGUUUAAGGUGUUUUCUGCCUUUUAAUCUCAAUGUGCAACAUCUGAUGUCUAAUCUUCGAAGGUGGGACACUGCUCCUUCUGUAAAUAUCACUGUUUUCAGCUUGGGUAGCUUAGAAAUCUCCAGGGUGUUGAGCGCUCUGAAGGAUUUUGCAUAAAAAACCAAUGUAUCGCUAACAUAUGAAUUGUCUAGGAGAGCAAGCAUGACCAAGCAAGGUAGUUUCUCAAGGGACAUUAUAUCACUCUGCUGGAGAUUAGUCCUACAAAGUUUAACCACUUCAAGUGUCAAUGAGUUAGAAAUCCAGUAUGGCAUUUUUCCGAUAUGACCAUCAAGCUUUAUGCUUUGGAGGCAUGGAAACUGCAGUGGCCUCUUCUUUUUCUUUUCAGAGAUGGGCAGACAAGCAAGUGUUCCAUCAUUUCGGCAUGCUCCAAGAUACAAAUAGAUCAGCGAAGAAGAAAUAUUUUUGAGGGUUUUGGAGAUUUCUUUGCUGUUCCUAACUGUAAUGCCUGUCAAUCCAAGGUGCUUCAGUCUAGGAAGCUUCCCCAAAGCUUUGAUUUUUGAGCCACAGCUGUCCUUGAUAUCCACAAUAUCCAGCCAUUCUAUGUCCUGCAGGUUCUCUAUUCCUUUAGGCACAGUUACUGCUGAAUCACAGCAGCAUUGUUUCCAUUUGUUGUGACAACAAUCUUCUGCUCUUCUGCUAGCACGAAGGGAGUAUAGCCUGCCAAGUCGAACAACCUCACUAGUAAGUUUUGUGAUGCAUGUCUUCCUCACAUUUAGUAGUUCUAGGAAUGGGAGCAUGCCGAUCGAUGAAGGAAGCUCACAAAUAUUUGAUUUGUAAAGAUUUAGGUACCUCAAGUGACACAGUUCUCCAACACGCCGUAUGUCUCUUUGAGUAAUUUGAAAGCUGGCAUUUGACAAAUCCAAAACUCGUAGAGCUCUUAGUUGAGAAGAGCAAAUAAUUUCAGCAAUGGAUUCUGAUGGUUCACUGAACACUGUUAGUGACCUGAUGCCAGAAAAUUCCACACAUCUAGCUAACUUCCUGUCACUCUGACCAUCAAGUGUCAGAUGGCGCAUCCGCUUUACUAGCAAACUGGAACUCUGUCUUGCACCAAUGGUGACUGAGACUUUCUCCUCUUGUGCAAUCAUGACUAGAAUAUCUCGCAUCAUGGGAUGGAUCCUGCAUGUCUUACAUGAUCUGUUCUUAGUUUGGACAGCAACAAUCAUGCUUCGAUCAAGGAGCUCAGAAAAAUAUCCUUGUGCAACAGCCCUGAGACUCAUACCGGUUCUUUCCCUCACAAGCCCUUCAGCUAACCAUCGCUCUACAACAGUUUCCACAUUGAUGUGAGAAUCCUCUGGGAAAAUGCUCAGGUAUAAGAAGCAUGGCCUGAGAUAAGGUGGUAGAUUUCUGUAGCUCCGGAUCAUUACUUUCCUAAUUUCAUUGAGGCUGGGGUCAUUGUAGAGCAACGAAGGAAGAUCAUCACAUAGUUUUCCCCAUUUGCGAGGAGAAUUUGAGGCAAGUAACUUCGCCACAGUUUCUAUAGCCAAUUCUAGGCCACUGCAUUUUCUCAGUAUUUGUGCAAUUGUGUUGAAGAGUGGCUCAGGUAACUUGAGGCUGUCUAGGUCCAGCUCUUCAAAGUCUUUUUUAUCUUCAGGACUCAUUUUUGAAUUUUCGGAUUGAAGAAUCGAAUCCUUCAAAAGCUGAAAUGAUUUCUGAUCUGAUAACAGGGGGAGACGAUGAACACGAUUAAAUGACCCCGUGCAGUCCUCUGCAACAUGAAAAAUCUCUGUUGUCACAAUGAUCCUGCUGCCACUUUUGCCAACUUGAGGGAGUGCCCUUUUGAUGCUAUACCAUGCUCUUGUCGUCCACAAAUCAUCAAAAACAAGCAAAAACUGCUUUCCUUCUAGUUUUCCUUGAAUUUGGCGGGCUAACUCGUCUUCAUCACCAAUAUGUUUACCUUUGCGUGCAGAAGCAUCAGAGAGUUGUGCAAUCAUAUCCAUGAACACCUUCGUGAUACUCUCAGCUUGCGACACCUUGAUCCACACACGGUAUUCAAAAUUUUUAAUAGUUCUCUUAUCCUCGUAUAUCUCGCGAGCACGAGUUGUCUUGCCGGAGCCACACAUGCCAACCAUUGCAGCCACUUUGAGAUUCCUGGUUUCCUCGUUUGAUGUAGGUACUUUGGAAGGUUCAUCCCAUGGGACCACCUCUUUCUUCCAAUCAUCAUAGGUAUCUAUUUCAGUAGAAACUUUCAGAGAGCGAGACCACACACCGCCCAAGACCACCAUUAAAUUCAAAUGAUUGUUGAUGGGUUGGUCAGCAGUGACCAGAUUGUAACGCCUAUUUCGCUCGCUCACCUCAACAAUCCUUGAUUUGAGAUCAUUUAACUUGACAGCGAAAGGACGAAGAACUCUAUAAUUCGUUAUAUAUUGUGACCAACUUGAACUUUGAGUAGUGAGGGCUGUAAAUCUUGUCUCAAGGCAAUCCUCCAUAUCAUAAGCCAAAUCCUUCACUUGCUCUGCCCAAACCCUGGCCAUCUGAUACUUUGGGGAAUCCUCCUUCAUGUUUUCAACAACACCAAGAAAUGCUCCAAUUGUUUCAAGCUCAUCCAUGACGAACCUGCCAGGUGAAAACAACUGAUGUCUCUCAGUGUCCAACUCUUUUGUAGAUUUCACAAGCAUCAAUAAAAAAGUUUACACUACAUAAAAAUUGUAUAAUUUCUCUAAUUUACCAUAAAUUUUAUCGAUUCAAUUGUUCUUAUUCUAAGGUUUCUUUCAUUUAGUUUGCCUAGUUUUAUGUAUUGACUUGUUUCAGUAAGCAUUGGUCCCCGUGAUAGGGUGAGUAGCUUCACUUCCCUUCCCUCUAGUCAUCCUAAGCCCCAGUUAAAGCUCACCGCCAGCAAGCUGAAUCGAGCCACAUUGCUAUUCUUUUCCUUUUUUCUCUCUCUAUUGCUAAAUAACUAGUAUUAGAGCAUCAUUAGUUUCUAUUAAGUCUCUUGUUUAAAUCUUGAGUCACUGACACACCCACUACUACUAGGGAUGAAUACAAAUUAGCUCAGCCUCUACCCAGCUCAGCUUGCUAAAACUUGGUAACAAACUUGCUUGGUCUCUUUAAGAUAGCUGAGCUGAAAGUGAAGUUCACCUCAGCUUGUUAAAAGGCUCGAGCUAACUUGUUGUUAUGAUACCAUUAAUAAUUAAUAACACAUUAUUACUAUUGUGUGAUGUAACAUGUUUUAGUCCUAUAGGUUAUCUUGUGUACUUAUAUAUGUAGUUAUUAUUAUAUAUUUGAAAAAUGGCCAUUCAGAUGACUAAGUCCAAUUGAAAUAAAUGAAAAUUUAAUCUGAAAUUAUGUUCGGUAUGACUCGAUUCAUAUUGUAUAUUCAAAUUUAUCUAAACUUGCAUGUGAUGGACGCAAUGAGUUAUUAGUUAUUACACUAAACCUACUCCGUAUUUAUUUUUAGCCUUUCGUAAAAAAAUAAUUUUUAGAGUUUAUGGACAUAGAUGACACCCAAUGAUAAGUUUAAACCACUGGUGCUUUACUUUAUUUAAUAUAUUUGUCUGGUUUGGUCAUAAUAUGUGUCCUUUUAGUGCCUCGUAAGCAGGGCUUUUUAAGGGACCAAGAUGGGAUGAAGGCUCAGCUUAGCUCAUCUUCAUUAGUGACUUAGUCUGGUCAAGCUGAGCCAGUUCGUAUAGUGGUCGAAUUUUUUAGAGACCUGCCCACUGCACAAUAAAAUUCUAUGUAAACAUUCCACUGUAGAGCUGGUCCUGCAACCUUUAAAAACAUACAAAAUAGGAUUUCUUUUAGAAAGAUAAAUAGAAAAGACAUUGAAGGUCAUGUGUAGUGUUUUCCCUUCUCUUUUUAGGUUUUCUCCACUAAACUCUGGUUAUUUCGAUUUCCUCUUACGAAAUGCAUUAAGUUUGUGAAACGUGAAGCUGCUAGCACUAUUUGGUUCUCUGUACUAACAGUGGACAUUCUGGGAUCUUUUGGAGAAAAAUCCAAAGUCGUAGUUUCUUUUCUACUCCAAAUGUGCUAUUUCUACAAGACCUUAGUUAGUAGACCUUGUCUUCCUAUUUCUGCAUUGUACAUGCCUCAAAUAUUGUCAAAUUUUAUCCUUUAUUAUCUCUAGCUGGAGAUGGCUCAAAAAUGUUCCAGAGUCACUUCUGGAUCACUACUCUCCUAUAUGCCAUUGUGACAUGCUCUAGUAGCCAAACCGUUCAUUGAUGAAAAAAAAAUGAUGCUAAUUGGUCUCACUUGUGUUGGCACAUUCCAGGAACCGAUGGAGCUCAUGACGUUCAUCAAGAAAGCAAUCGAGGAACCAUGGCCGGAUCGGAUAGAAUGGCGUGUGUUGCGUUGCGUACCUGGUGUUCUCCGACUCGCUCUGCUGCAAGGCCACCUCCUUCUCCACCUGCGUCGAGAUGGUCUGGAUCAAACGUGCCACCAAACCCACGGCGAUCUCUGCCAUCUCCCUCCCUGAUCGAGCUAAACAAGAUUGAUUUUUUCGGAGGAUUUUAAGGUAAAACUGCAACCCAAACUAACCCCCUGGUAGAUAUAUACAGUAUGUGUUGGGCAAUCAAGCUUGAUUUCCUACGCUGUUAGGAGUACAUAUAUAUGCUACUGUCCUACUGGACAUUCAUGUAUGUUAGUAUUAUUAUAUCAAAUCCAAGCCUACCAUAAUUGUCUUCAACUCUUGGUUAUCAGUGGCAGCACAUCUCUCGAUGGAUCACGCAUUUUCUGUAUAGAGUCAACAGCAUCGAGAGAAUAACAAUGAACACGAAUGGUGCAAAUAUAUAUUUCUUUUGUUUGCCAUGCAUGAUUCCAGAAGUAUACUGCCUC